RNAcentral lists this unclassified non-coding RNA (1532 nucleotides) under Hevea brasiliensis (rubber tree). Lineage: Eukaryota; Viridiplantae; Streptophyta; Magnoliopsida; Malpighiales; Euphorbiaceae. The record is from RNAcentral.
AAGCAAGUAAUAACAACAAUAAUGCUCUAACAUGGAAUAAGGAGUUUCACUCCUCCUUCCUACAAGAAAAGAAUAAUAUUCUUUUUUUCUUUUUUGUUCUUUCUCUUCUUUUCGCUUUUUUUGCGAUAACAUAAAAUCUAAAAAUUCUAAAAAUAAAAAAAAUUAUUCUUUUAUAAACUUUUCUUGAUUAUAACCAUAAUAGGAGAGAUACCACCUAACGAAUUUUCCCAACCCGGUUUGCAAGUUGGUUGUUGGUUUAUACCCGAGUUCCUUUUGGGCCAAACUAAUAUUCGCAUGGGUAAACGGAACGUCGCCGUUUCCAGGCAUAUCCAAUACAUGUUUUUUAGCUUUUACUUUCAAAUGCUUCUCUAACAUCGCAACCAUCAUCGGUACCGUAACGGGCGAAGUAUUACCCAAAUUAAAUAUCCGAAACAUAGCCGGGCCCCGUUUUUUCCCACCCGACCCGGUACUCUUCCCUGCUGUAUCAAGUGACCCAACACACCCUUUCACGAUAUCAUCGAUGUACGUAAAAUCACGUGCUAAAUCAACUCGAUUCUUACCUCGAUAAACCGUAAUCGGUUUCCCUUGUAAUAUAUUGCGGGUAAAGCUGAAAUAAGCCAUGUCGGGUCUUCCCCACGGUCCGUAAACUGUGAAGAAUCUUAACCCGGUUAUCGAUAAACCGUAAAUAUGAUUAUACGUGUGUGUAAUUUCUUCACCUGCUUUUUUCGUAGCGGCGUACAAUGAAGCGGGUUGAUCAGUCCGAUCCGAUUCGGAAAACGGUACUUUUUCGUUUAACCCGUAAACAGAACUUGAACUCGCCCAAACAAUGGCGGGUUGUGGGUUCGAAUUUUUACAAACUUCGAGCAGGGAAACAAGGCCGGCGAUGUUACUGUGUAUAUACGAACCUGGAUUUUCCAUGGCGUAACGAACUCCAGCUUGAGCAGCCAGAUGCAUUACAUGUGUAAAUCGAGCAAUGUCGAACAACUUUACCAACAAUUUUGAAUCGUUGAUAUCACCAUCGACGAUGAAAAUCGAAUUCUGGGUGAGUAGAUUCUUUCGAGCUUUUUUCAACGACGGAUCGUAGUAGUUGUUGAAAUUAUCGAUUCCUACAACUCCGUCGCCUCGUUUCUUCAAGGCGAGGGAGACGUGGGAACCGACGAAACCGGCUGCGCCGGUAACUAACACCGACAUUCCGCCGUGAGAGCGGCGGAUCUGAGCCGAAUUAAUAACAUUUCUCUCCCAAUGAUGACCACCCCAUGUAGAGGUGAAAUACCGGUUACCGGAAUCCAUAAACGACUGAAAACACAAAUAUGAAGCUGUUAAAGCUAUUAAAAACAAUGCCCAUAGAAACAUGUUGCUUGUAGAUGCAAAACAUCGAUGAAAAUGUCGAUUUCUAUCCUUGAAUUUUCCCGGUGUAGACGGAAACAACUCCUCCUCUAACGAAGGCAUAACUCAAAAAUUUCUUCUAUCACUAUUUUUAUUUUCAAUUUAUUUUAUUUCAGCAGAUGCAGAGAACAAUUUGUUGAAAAAUU